UAAUACGUAGGGGGCGAGCGUUGUUCGGAUUUACUGGGCGUAAAGCGUGCGUAGGCGGUUGGGAAAGUCUGGCGUGAAAUCUUCCCGCUCAACGGGAAGCCUGCGCCGGAAACUAUCCAACUGGAGAGCAGAAGAGGAAAGCGGAAUUCCAGGUGUAGCGGUGGAAUGCGCAGAUAUCUGGAAGAACACCAGUGGCGAAGGCGGCUUUCUGGUCUGUUUCUGACGCUGAGGCACGAAAGCCAGGGGAGCGAACGGGAUUAGAUACCCCGGUAGUCCUGGCUGUAAACGGUGGGCGCUAGGUGUGGGAGGUAUCGACCCCUUCCGUGCCGCAGCUAACGCAUUAAGCGCCCCGCCUGGGGAGUACGGCCGCAAGGUUG
This 377-nucleotide ribosomal RNA is filed under the name uncultured bacterium. RNAcentral's name for it is "bacterial SSU rRNA". It matches the Rfam family "Bacterial small subunit ribosomal RNA", at positions 521 to 896 of the family's 1533-position model. The record is from RNAcentral.